Molecule: ribosomal RNA, 255 nt
Filed under: uncultured bacterium
Lineage: Bacteria
Description: partial 16S ribosomal RNA
Rfam family: Bacterial small subunit ribosomal RNA
Source: RNAcentral
UACGGAGGGGGCGAGCGUUAUUCGGAAUUAUUGGGCGUAAAGGGCGCGUAGGCGGCUGUACAAGUCAAAGGUGAAAUCCCUCGGCUCAACUGAGGAACUGCCCUUUGAAACUGUACGGCUUGAGGCCGGGAGGGGGUAGCGGAAUUCCCAGUGUAGCGGUGAAAUGCGUAGAUACUGGGAGGAACACCAGGUGGCGAAGGCGGCUACCUGGACCGGUUCUGACGCUGAGGCGCGAAAGCGUGGGUAGCAAACAGG